Molecule: ribosomal RNA, 408 nt
Filed under: uncultured bacterium
Lineage: Bacteria
Description: partial 16S ribosomal RNA
Rfam family: Bacterial small subunit ribosomal RNA
Source: RNAcentral
GACGAACGCUGGCGGCGUGCUUAACACAUGCAAGUCGAACGAAGUGGCGGACGGGUGAGUAACGCGUAAUCAACCUGCCCUUCAGGGGGGGACAACAGUUGAAAACGACUGCUAAUACCGCAUACUGAAGGACGGGUUUGCGGGUGAAUGGCUAGUUGGGGGGGUAACGGCCAACCAAGGGGAUGAUCAGUCGCCGGUCUGAGAGGAUGGACGGCCACAUUGGGACUGGGAAACGGCCCAGACUCCUUCGGGAGGGAGCAGUGGGGAAUCUUCCGAAAUGGAGGAAAGUCUGACGGAGCAACGCCGGGUGAGUGAUGACGGCCUUCGGGUUGUAAAGCUCUGUUAAUCGGGACGCGGUACCGGAAUAGAAAGCCACGGCUAACUACGUGCCAGCAGCCGCGGUAAUUC